AACGAACGCUGGCGGCAGGCCUGAAACAUGCAAGUCGAACGAACCUUCGGGUUAGUGGCGCACGGGUGAGUAACACGUGGGAAUGUGCCUCUGGGUGAGGAACAACGUCGGGAAACUGACGCUAAUACCGCAUAAUGUCUACGGACCAAAGAUUUAUUGCCCAGAGAUCAGCCCGCGUCUGAUUAGCUAGUUGGUGGAGUAAUGGCCUACCAAGGCGACGAUCCAUAGCUGGUUUGAGAGAAUGAUCAGCCUCACUGGGACUGAGACACGGCCCAGACUCCUACGGGAGGCAGCAGUUGGGAAUAUUGGACAAUGGGGGAAACCCUGAUCCAGCAAUGCCGCGUGAGUGAUGAAGGCCUUCGGGUUGUAAAGCUCUUUUGGCGGGGACGAUGAUGACGGUACCCGCAGAAUAAGCUCCGGCUAACUUCGUGCCAGCCGCCGCAGUAA
This 447-nucleotide ribosomal RNA is filed under the name uncultured bacterium. Its description in RNAcentral is "partial 16S ribosomal RNA". It matches the Rfam family "Bacterial small subunit ribosomal RNA", at positions 29 to 523 of the family's 1533-position model. The record is from RNAcentral.